This 771-nucleotide ribosomal RNA is filed under the name Trametes sp. 5 RG-2014. RNAcentral describes it as "eukaryotic LSU rRNA". The stretch from base 474 to 771 matches the Rfam family "Eukaryotic large subunit ribosomal RNA", at positions 1 to 292 of the family's 3401-position model. The record is from RNAcentral. Lineage: Eukaryota; Fungi; Basidiomycota; Agaricomycetes; Polyporales; Polyporaceae.
UACCCCUGUGCACUUACUGUAGGUUGGCGUGGGCUCCUUAACGGGAGCAUUCUGCCGGCCUAUGUAUACUACAAACACUUUAAAGUAUCAGAAUGUAAACGCGUCUAACGCAUCUAUAAUACAACUUUUAGCAACGGAUCUCUUGGCUCUCGCAUCGAUGAAGAACGCAGCGAAAUGCGAUAAGUAAUGUGAAUUGCAGAAUUCAGUGAAUCAUCGAAUCUUUGAACGCACCUUGCGCUCCUUGGUAUUCCGAGGAGCAUGCCUGUUUGAGUGUCAUGGAAUUCUCAACUUAUAAAUCCUUGUGAUCUAUAAGCUUGGACUUGGAGGCUUGCUGGCCCUUGUUGGUCGGCUCCUCUUGAAUGCAUUAGCUCGAUUCCGUACGGAUCGGCUCUCAGUGUGAUAAUUGUCUACGCUGUGACCGUGAAGUGUUUUGGCGAGCUUCUAACCGUCCAUUAGGACAACUUUUUAACAUCUGACCUCAAAUCAGGUAGGACUACCCGCUGAACUUAAGCAUAUCAAUAAGCGGAGGAAAAGAAACUAACAAGGAUUCCCCUAGUAACUGCGAGUGAAGCGGGAAAAGCUCAAAUUUAAAAUCUGGCGGUCUUUGGCCGUCCGAGUUGUAGUCUGGAGAAGCGUCUUCCGCGUUGGACCGUGUACAAGUCUCUUGGAACAGAGCGUCAUAGAGGGUGAGAAUCCCGUCUUUGACACGGACUACCAAUGCUUUGUGAUGCGCUCUCAAAGAGUCGCGUUGUUUGGGAAUGCAGCGCAAAA